GUGACAUGCUUUUCCAUAAACCAUUUUAUAUGGAGACAUACCCAUAGGAUUUUUAUAUGCAGUUCUAUAGGCCCAUAAUGCAUCAUCAAGUUUCUUGGACCAAUUCAUUCUAGAUCUAUUAACAGUCUUUUGCAAAAUUAAUUUGAGCUCUCUAUUACUCAAUUCUACUUGACCACUAGACUGUGGAUGAUAAGGAGAUGCAAUUCUAUGAUUAAGGUGAGGUAAUAGCUUACCAAGGAGAUGAUCAGUAGCUGGUCCGAGAGGAUGAUCAAACACACUGGGACUGAGGCACGGCCUAGACUCCUACGGAAGGCAGCUCUAGGGAAUUUUCCGCAAUGGGCGAAAGCCUGACGGAGCAAUGCCGCGUGGAGGUGGAAGGCCUACGGGUCGUCAACUUCUUUUCUCGGAGAAGAAACAAUGACGGUAUGAAUCGGGUUGAAAGUGAAAGUCGCCAAAAAGUGGCGGAAUGCUCUCGAAACCAAUUCAC
This 487-nucleotide non-coding RNA is filed under the name Triticum aestivum (bread wheat). RNAcentral describes it as "Bacterial small subunit ribosomal RNA". It matches the Rfam family "Bacterial small subunit ribosomal RNA", at positions 109 to 535 of the family's 1533-position model. The record is from Rfam by way of RNAcentral. Lineage: Eukaryota; Viridiplantae; Streptophyta; Magnoliopsida; Poales; Poaceae.